This 285-nucleotide unclassified non-coding RNA is filed under the name Hevea brasiliensis (rubber tree). Lineage: Eukaryota; Viridiplantae; Streptophyta; Magnoliopsida; Malpighiales; Euphorbiaceae. The record is from RNAcentral.
UUGAAAUGGAUAAGGAUGGAUAAUUCCUCAAUUUGAAAACGAGACAGCAUGACUGAUUGGCAGGUAGAAGCUGACUGAGGAAUUUCAGGUUUACCAAUGCAUAAUUUUUAUGAAUGAGCAUAUGAUGAUAAUUUUGCUGUGCAUCAAAAUGGUGCUGAGAGCUGUUGUAAUAUUCCUGCUUGUUUUUGUAUUUUUAAAUCCUUUCCUCCUCCAUUUAUGGUCCAAUAGAAGUACAUAUGAAAGCCAGAUAGUUUACACCUAAACUUUCUUCACUAAUGUGGUUGA